RNAcentral lists this long non-coding RNA (2694 nucleotides) under Bos grunniens (domestic yak). RNAcentral's name for it is "lncRNA (ENSBGRG00000014036.1)". Lineage: Eukaryota; Metazoa; Chordata; Mammalia; Artiodactyla; Bovidae. The record is from RNAcentral.
AUGAUGGGGAGGGGAGACGCUGAGGAGAGCAGUCAGGGCGGGACACUGCCUCCGGCUCCGAUGCUGUUGCUUCUUGCCCGCCUCUCUGCCUCUAGUAGUUUUCUUUCUCUCCCCCUCUUCUCGCUCUGUCUCUCUGUGCCCCACUCUCUCAUUCUCCACUUUGGUCUCUUGGUUCCAGAAAAGCCCCUCCCCCGGGAGGGCCCAGGAAUUAUGGCGAGGCUCCUGGGGUGUGCCGUGGCCGUGGCCCUCAUCCUCAGUGUGGCUUCCACUGUCUUUCUGUAUCACUGGCAGCAGAAGAACCGGCUGGAGAUGGAUGGGGGCGGGACUGCCCUGCCUCUCUCCCAGGAGCCAGAACCUUCUCCCAGCAGGCAGAGCCACCUUGCACUUAAGAACAUCCAGAUUCUUGGCCUAGAGCUGGAGAAGCAGCAGCUACAGCAGGAAGAGGAUGAACUGCAGAAGCUGCCCCCACAGCCCCCCUACUACGAUCUGGGGGCCUCCCCCUCCUACCACCCCUUGGCCUUUGUCUCCACAGCCUCACCACGCUCCCUCUCGGCUGGAAGGGCCAAAGAGAAUGCAUCUCAAGAUGCCAAACCUUGCCCCUGGGAGGCAGCGUUCCUAUCCCGGGUGCUCAGCCCAGAGGACCAACCCGGCCCCCACCUUCCAAUUCCAUGCAGGGGCCUUCCCUCCCCAGGCUCUGCUCAUGGUGGAUUGACAGAAGGCUCAAAUGAGUUGGAGGCUUCAGGACUCAAGACCACUUGGGAGGAAGAGCAGACUGUCCCCUGCCUUCGGUCCUGAGGCGUCUGAGCCCUUGAUAAUCACACCCUUGGCAAGCCAGGGCUGCUGCAUGUGUUCACUCAUAUCUAAGGCAGAGGAGACCCAGGCAGUCACCCAUGUCCUCCACAGAGUCCUCCGUGCCACAUGGGUGACAGCAGCCUGAUCUCCUCCCGCUGGUCGGGGCCAGUUACGCCUUCCAAGAUGCCACUCCUUGCCUGCUGGCCCAGAACAUGAGGAGUCCAAGUGUGCCCUGCAGAGCGCAGAGUGGCGGGGAUGGCAAGCACAGAAUCCCCCCAUGGGGUCAUUGGGCCACUCCUGUUUUUCAUCCCUUGUCAUCUUCCUGUUGGGGACACAGCGCCACACAGAGGCCUUCAAGAGUAUUGCCACGGAGCUGGCAUGGAGGGCAUCGGAGCUGCAGUCCGGCUGCUGCUUGAUGAGCCUGGGAGGGGCCAGCAGUCCUCCUCUAGCAUCCAGUGGGGCCAGGUUGAAGAAUUAAAUGGUGAAAAGAUAGGGAACCUCCACCGCGUGACCUUCAGGGCUUUGUGAUGACUCUGACCUCAGGUGCAGUAUCAGUUUUGAUUUACUGUUUUAGCAGGUGCCGGCAGUCUCGGAGGACUCCACUCAGCUGUGUCCCUCAGACCAGGGGUUCACUGUGGCGUCAGCAUGUCCAUCCCAGUCCCACACUGGGAAAUUCCAUGUCCCCCAGCAGUGAAUUUGCCCUGUUCUCUGGGGUCCUUGCCAGGCUGUUGAAUCCCACAUCCUGAGAAAGUGCCCCCAGGUCAGUGUGGUCUUGCUUAUUCCCCCAAAUCCCACCCACAAAUGCCCGCCCAGCUUCUGCUAGAAUUCCUAGAGAAUUCCUGCCACUCCUUGCUCCUUGGACGUACUCUCUCCUCCCUCAGCAGGUCCAGCUGGCCCCAGCUGGGUCAUGCUGGGCUUUAAACUUAGCUAUCAGCCUGGUAGCCAGGAAGGCGGGUGGGGGCAGCUCUCGAAGAGUGUGCCUCUCGCCUUGUAGGGUGAGCCUGGGAUGAUGGUAGCUCUUGCUGGCUUAGGCCAGGCACCUCCGUGUGCUCUGAGGGACAUAUCCUCAAGAGCCUUUUUCGUUUGUUUGUUUUGUGUUGGGUUUUUUUUUUUUUAAAUAAGUUUAUUUAUAUAUUUCUUUGGCUGUGCUAGGUCUUCGCCGCUGCACGUGGGCUCUUCUCUAGUGGCGAGGUGGAGGCUUUCAGGGGCUUCUCUUGUUGCAGAGUAACAGGCUCUACAGGCGUGGGCUCAGUAGCUGCAGUUCCCAGGCUCCCUAGUCGCAGCACACAGCCUCAGUUGCUUCACAGCACGUGGGAUCCUCCCAGAUCACACGUGUCUCCUGCUCUGGUGGGCGGAUUCUUUACCACUGAGCCACCAGGGAAGUCCAGAGACCUUGUUUGGCCAAAAAUUUUACUUUCGUUUUAGGUUCGAAGGAUUCAUUAACAACAGAAACCUCUCAUUACACACACAAUAAACAAUUUCAAUUUUAAAUAGAGGAUUUUUAAACUUCAUUUCAAUAUACAUCAUUAAAAGCAAAGAAAUAGAAACAACAGAGAGAAGGAACGGCACAUACUUCACCAAAUUGGGCUGACAACCCACAUCCAGACUUGAACAGCGCUGGGAAGUCCCAUGUAACAGCAAUCUGGAGUCCCGACUGGCAAAAGGCCCCAGGCAGCGUGUUCACCCCAUGGGUGAGACUUCAAAUUGCAGCUUUGGGGGCCACCACUUAUAAUCUCAGGCCACAAACGGACAUCAGCAUCAGUUUGCACACAAAAAUGCAGUUCUGGUUUUCCAUUAACUUUUAGAAUGCUAUUGGUUUUCACCUUGUGAGUCACAGGAUUUUCCAGACCCCAGGGGGCUGGCCAGGCCUACAGGGGCUCAGCAAAUUCCAAGACCCUCUCC